Molecule: ribosomal RNA, 253 nt
Filed under: uncultured bacterium
Lineage: Bacteria
Description: partial 16S ribosomal RNA
Rfam family: Bacterial small subunit ribosomal RNA
Source: RNAcentral
UACGAAGGGGGCUAGCGUUGCUCGGAAUCACUGGGCGUAAAGCGCACGUAGGCGGAUUGCUAAGUCAGGGGUGAAAUCCUGGAGCUCAACUCCAGAACUGCCUUUGAUACUGGCGAUCUUGAGUCCGGGAGAGGUGAGUGGAACUGCGAGUGUAGAGGUGAAAUUCGUAGAUAUUCGCAAGAACACCAGUGGCGAAGGCGGCUCACUGGCCCGGUACUGACGCUGAGGUGCGAAAGCGUAGGGAGCGAACAGG